GUGCUUGCUUCAGCAGCACAGAUUGGAAUGAUAAGAGAAGACCAGCAUGGCUCUUGUGCAAGGAUAACACACAGAUUCGUGAAGCAUUCCAUGUUUAA
Molecule: small nuclear RNA, 98 nt
Filed under: Otolemur garnettii (small-eared galago)
Lineage: Eukaryota; Metazoa; Chordata; Mammalia; Primates; Galagidae
Source: RNAcentral